CCAGACUCCUACGGGAGGCAGCAGUGGGGAAUAUUGCACAAUGGGGGAAACCCUGAUGCAGCGACGCCGCGUGAGUGAAGAAGUAAUUCGUUAUGUAAAGCUCUAUCAGCAGGGAAGAAUUUAGACGGUACCUGACUAAGAAGCCCCGGCUAACUACGUGCCAGCAGCCGCGGUAAUACGUAGGGGGCAAGCGUUAUCCGGAUUCACUGGGUGUAAAGGGAGCGUAGACGGCCAUGCAAGCCUGGAGUGAAAGCCCGGGGCCCAACCCCGGGACUGCUCUGGGAACUGUGCGGCUGGAGUGCGGGAGGGGCAGGCGGAAUUCCUGGUGUAGCGGUGAAAUGCGUAGAUAUCAGGAGGAACACCGGCGGCGAAGGCGGCCUGCUGGACCGCGACUGACGUUGAGGCUCGAAAGCGUGGGGAGCAAACAGGAUUAGAUACCCUGGUAAU
RNAcentral lists this ribosomal RNA (447 nucleotides) under uncultured bacterium. Its description in RNAcentral is "bacterial SSU rRNA". It matches the Rfam family "Bacterial small subunit ribosomal RNA", at positions 331 to 794 of the family's 1533-position model. The record is from RNAcentral.